Molecule: small RNA, 28 nt
Filed under: Bombyx mori (domestic silkworm)
Lineage: Eukaryota; Metazoa; Arthropoda; Insecta; Lepidoptera; Bombycidae
Description: ovarian small RNA-38392
Source: RNAcentral
UUUGAUUGCAGGUAAGCCUUGUUCGUCU